CGAAUUGGACAUGUGUAUUGGGUAGUGUCGCGACUUAUUUCCCCGAGGAGGUAUUUCUCGCACACACCUGGAAGUCACAAUGUCAUCCGUGAAGGGAGUCGGCUCUUUUAUUUUUGUGUUUUUUGAAGCGAAUUAUCCUGUUGCCGAGGGAGCCAUGCAUCUAGAAACGGCUGGGGAAGGAGACGGUGGCUGAGUGGUUAGCGUGCCGGUCCUGCGUUCGCUGCGUCAUAGAUGAUGAGGGUUUGAAUCCACCGCUGCCACAGACUACUUGUCCUGAAGCCCACCACCAUCAUCCUGGACUGUAUGGGACUGUCCAAGGGAAAGCUAGAUGGGGCCGCUAUAAACACUUGCCGGCUUGGGCCCACCACCAGGCCCAGCCAAGGGAGGUUGGUGUAGCAGUGCCGGGAGGUUCCAUAACACAGGGCACUCCUCACCUCAACAACAGUCUCUUCACCGACAAGUAAUUCUUCACCAACAAGCUUUUCAGCAGCUUGGAGAAAUAGACUGUACUGUUCUGGAUAUAUAUAGGAGAAGAGGGCGAGAGGAGCCCAGUCCCAGUCAUAGUAAGCUAGUGGUAAGUGAAGAGUCAGAGUGAAGUGUACUACUAAGGAAGAAUAUUAAACUACAGAAGCUGUGCAAAGUGUUUACAUAUCUCCCUCCCACGGAGUCUCCUGACGGCGACACGGAACCCAAGUAACACGUCCGGCAUAACAAUAAUAAUAAUAAUAAUAAUAAUAAUAAUAAUAAUAAGUUAUAGAAAUAAUAAUAAUAAUUAA
Molecule: long non-coding RNA, 776 nt
Organism: Eriocheir sinensis (Chinese mitten crab)
Lineage: Eukaryota; Metazoa; Arthropoda; Malacostraca; Decapoda; Varunidae
Exons: 4
Source: RefSeq, a predicted model, not a curated record